AGAGUUUGAUCCUGGCUCAGAUUGAACGCUGGUGGUAUGCUUAACACAUGCAAGUCGAACGGUAACAUUGGAGCUUGCUCCAGAUGACGAGUGGCGGACGGGUGAGUAACGCGUAGGAAUCUGCCUAGUAGUGGGGGACAACAUGUGGAAACGCAUGCUAAUACCGCAUACGCCCUACGGGGGAAAGCGGGGGAUCUUCGGACCUCGCGCUAUUAGAUGAGCCUGCGUUAGAUUAGCUUGUUGGUGGGGUAAUGGCCUACCAAGGCGACGAUCUAUAGCUGGUCUGAGAGGACGAUCAGCCACACUGGGACUGAGACACGGCCCAGACUCCUACGGGAGGCAGCAGUGGGGAAUAUUGGACAAUGGGCGCAAGCCUGAUCCAGCAAUACCACGUGUGUGAAGAAGGCCUGAGGGUUGUAAAGCACUUUCAAUUGGGAGGAAAACAGCUGGGUUAAUAGCCCUGCUCUUGACAUUACCUUUAGAAGAAGCACCGGCUAACUCCGUGCCAGCAGCCGCGGUAAUACGGAGGGUGCGAGCGUUAAUCGGAAUUACUGGGCGUAAAGCGUACGUAGGCGGUUAUUUAAGUCAGAUGUGAAAGCCCCGGGCUCAACCUGGGAACUGCAUUUGAAACUGGAUAACUAGAGUUUGAUAGAGGAGAGUAGAAUUUCUGGUGUAGCGGU
RNAcentral lists this ribosomal RNA (680 nucleotides) under uncultured bacterium. Its description in RNAcentral is "bacterial SSU rRNA". It matches the Rfam family "Bacterial small subunit ribosomal RNA", at positions 8 to 682 of the family's 1533-position model. The record is from RNAcentral.